RNAcentral lists this ribosomal RNA (381 nucleotides) under uncultured eukaryote. Its description in RNAcentral is "bacterial SSU rRNA". It matches the Rfam family "Eukaryotic small subunit ribosomal RNA", at positions 592 to 963 of the family's 1831-position model. The record is from RNAcentral.
CAGUAGCGUAUAUUAAAGUUGUUGCAGUUAAAAAGCUCGUAGUUGGAUUUCUGGCAAGGCAGAGCUAACCUGGCACUAUGUGUCGUGUGUUGGACUCGGUCUGCCAUCCUUCCAGAAAAGCACUAAACCAUUCAUUUGGCCUUGGUGUCGAUCUGGGACUUUUACUUUGAAAAAUUAGAGUGUUCAAAGCAGGCGUUACGCCGUGAAUACAUUAGCAUGGAAUAAUAAUCUAGGACUUCAGUUCUAUUUUGUUGGUUUCUAGGACCGAAGUAAUGAUUUAUAGGAGUAGUUGGGGGUUGGCUAGUAUUCUAGCGGCCGACGAGGUGGAAAUUACUUUGGUAUUCGCUGAAGACUAACUUAUGCGAAAGACAUUCACCAAGG